UGCUCUGAUUUACUUACUAUUUUUAUUAUAAUCAAAUACCAUAUUGACAUACCUUCUUUACAUAGUCGAAUCAACUUUUCUGAACUGAGUUACUUGACCAUGCAUAAUAGACUGAUUCAUAUUUCCUGCCAUACUAUAAAGUAGAGUACAUAUCUGAAAAAACAGAGUAGAUUAGAAGGGAAAGAAAAUAUUUUAUAUGAUUUCAACUAUUUGAAAUCAUAGUUUGAUGAGUUUAGCACAUUAGCACUCGAAUGAUGGUAAAAACGGAAUGCAUCUGGCAGAACCAAAAUGAUCAAAAAAGAACCAAGCUUCAGUUUUUAUUGUGAAAAUGUAUUUACACCAUAAGCAUGUAUUCAGUUUGAAAAUGGCUGCAGUGAUCUUAAGAGACACAGACAACGGAAGAUGGUGAAAUGCAGAACAGCAUCUGAUAGACUAAGCCAGCGAAGAUAGACAAAUAUGGUUGGUAAUGAACACAUUUCACAUUCGUGUCCCUUCACGCAACAGAUAAAUCUCAUAACAGUAAUUUAUGACAGCAAUAAAAGUAAUGUUUUUUAA
Cimex lectularius (bed bug) is the source of this 555-nucleotide long non-coding RNA. RefSeq lists it as uncharacterized. The transcript is spliced from 3 exons. NCBI's taxonomy places the organism in Eukaryota, Metazoa, Arthropoda, Insecta, Hemiptera, Cimicidae. The record is from RefSeq and is a predicted model, not a curated record.